RNAcentral lists this long non-coding RNA (43638 nucleotides) under Vitis vinifera (wine grape). RNAcentral's name for it is "long non-coding RNA (VVIN_LNC001213)". The record is from RNAcentral. Lineage: Eukaryota; Viridiplantae; Streptophyta; Magnoliopsida; Vitales; Vitaceae.
GCAUAAUAGCAGUAGUGUUGAUCGUAGUGGGCUUGUAUGGUGUUCUGUGGGGAAAAGGCAAGGAGAUGAAGCAGAACGCCCAAGUAGAUGGAGCAAAAAGCUCUACGGAGCCAGAAUUGAGAGGCAUUGUCAUAGAAACCUCAUCUAGUACUAAGGGUAAACCGACCGCAACAAGUACUAUUUGUCCCAUCCAAGCUGCUGACCGAGGAUCUGGUGCGGUUUCUCCUUCUGCAGUGGUGCAUGAAUAGCAACAAUAUAUCAUACUGAUAUCUUUUAUUUGGAAGAAAUUUUCAAGAAAUUUUUGUAUGUAUAUACAAAAUUCAUUUCUACCAACCAAAUAUCUUAAAAACAGUGUACCCGCCCCGUAUUUCCUUUGCCUAAAUUGUAAUAUUUUCCGGUAAUAAAUGAUUAAUGUUUCAUUCAAUCUAUUCAUGUCACAGUGUGCUAAGUUAUUCUGGUGGUGUAACAAGUCCUACAGCUGCUGCUAUGCAUGAGAGUAGCUCUAUCUUCUUACCCUAUCUUAUAUGUGUAUCGUUUUCUAUGAAAUUGGAAUUCCAAAUUAUAGAAAAUUGAUACCUACAUUGGCAUUAGAAUUACAAAUUAAUAUAAUCAUCAUAUAAACUAACGAUGCAUGUUUUGGUCAUACAUCUGCGGUCUCCAUCUUACAUAUAUACAUAUUUUCAAACAAAUAUUGAUUGAUUAAGAGUCAAUGUGGGAAUGAUUGUUGGAAGUUAGAAGUGUUUGGCAAUAGUAAAAAUGAUUUUUCUUAAAAAGUUAGGAGGCAUGACAAAGUAUUAUAAAUGAAUUUUAAAAGUCUAGCUAAUCACUUCUAUAAGUUUUGAAAUAACAUUGGAUGCUGGUGUCUAACAAUGACUUUUUACGGGUUAGUUUUACUAUGAAAAAUAGUAAAGAAAGUCAAAUAUAAUUAAAAUUAUUAAAAAUUUAUAUAUUUUUAAAUUAUUUAAUAUUUAUACAGAACAAUUGAAUAAGUAAAAAAAGUUUGAAAUGGUGUAAAAAAAUAAUUUAUUAACUUAAAUUUUUUUUUUUCUCUUUACUUCUAUUUUUUCUCUUUGUUCCCUUUCUCUCACAUUUUUCUUCAAACUUUUGGAUAAUAAAACAUAACCUCGAGGUUUGACAAAUAUUUUAAAAUUAUAUUUGUAAGUCAAGAAAAUCACUUCAAGUGAUUCUUGAAUUAGCACUUUGAUAUGUGCUACUUCAUCUAAAAAUCAUUUUUUAUUAUAUAAUACAUUAUCCAAAAAUACUUAAUUAUAUAGGAAUACUAUCUUCUAUACACAUCCAACACCAAUUGAUUCUUCAUAAAAAGAUUUAAUAGAAGUGUUAUCAACAAAAGCAUUAUAAGUUUCUUCAUAAAAAUAUAGUAUUAAAAUAUUUACUAUGGAAGUGAUGCCGAUAAAAACAUUACAAAUUAAAAACAUUUUUAUCAAAAUCAUUCUGAAAUCAGCCUUACUCAUGCUUCCAAAUGAAACAUCUCAUGAGUUUUGUCCAUUUGCAUGUUGGCAUAUCCUCUCUACAAACAACUUCACCAUCAAUUAAUUUUCAGUUAAUGAUAAGAAAAAAUUAUUUUUUAAAAAAGAUUUUUAGAUUACAUCAUUUUAUGAACAUACUUGUACAAUUGAAGUACAAUUUAUCACAUUUCUUACAAUCUAAUAAAAAUUUUAAAUAAUAAUAAUAAUAACAAUAAUAAUACUCAAAGAAAAUAAAACUAUUUUUCAUAUUCUAAAAUACACAAACUCUUCAUUUUAAUUUCCUCUACUAGGUGCAAGAUUACCCUAAUUUACAUAUUAGAUAGAAUGAUAGGACACAUGAUGAAAAUGGUAAAAGUAAUGCACAAAAGAAGGAUAAGAAUCCACUUCAACCAAUAUUUCUAUAAAUAAAGAGUAAUUAAAUAUUAAUAAUAUUUCAUUAUCUUAACUUAGGAAAUAAUAUUUAUUUUCCUUAAUUUUAAGACAUUUAUUAUUUGUUUAUUUUUUAUAAUUUACAAUACACUAUUGUAUAAAUUUUUUAAAAGAAAUAAUAAAAUUCAAGUCUUUCAUUGCAAAAAUUAUCAAAUUUUUUAUGGUAUUAGAGGAAGAGACUUAAACUUGAUUCUUCUCCAAAAGUGAUUGAAUAUCAUAAAAGUAUUGGUCAAAAUACUUGAAUAGGUACAAAUUUUCAGUUUGGAGGGAAAAAGUUUUACCUAUACUACGUAUUACAAUUCUCGACAAAAACUAAAAAAUAACCUUUCUAAGUAUUACAAUUCUUAACAAAAACUAAAACAUAGAAAUAAUAAUAAUAAUAAUAAUAAUUUAAUAUUUAUAUGAUGUCUUUGAUAUUUUUAUCAAUCCUUUGGUAUGCCUUCACCAAGUUUCAAGGUAAGAUGGACAUUCAUAUACAUUCUCACUCUAGAGAAUAUAUUUAAAAAAAAAAUAUUUGAAAGAGCAUAUUAAGGAAAAGAAUAAACAAAGACCAAAAAUGACAUAUACACCGAAUGAAUAGUAAAUCAAAAGCAAUCAAAUAUUAAUAAUAUUUGAUUCUCUUAAUUUAAAAAAUAAUAUUUAUUUAUUUAUUUUAAGAUAUUUAUAAUUUCUUUUUUUCUAUAAUUUGCAAUACAUUAUUUUGAAAACAAAUUAUAAAAUUCAUCAAACCCUUCAAUUAGAAAACGGAAAAUGAAGAAAGAAAAUUCAAGUUUUUAGUCAGUGAUGUCUACCCUCCCGCCCAUGGCUCCUCUAAGCAAAGCCAGAAGCGAAGAAAUUACCCCUUUGAGUGGGAGAAUAGGAAAAAUUAGCGGAAAAUAAGUGUGCUAUAAAAGGUGUGCAAUCUACUAAUAUGUGUGCCUUCUUCUAUUAGGUGCACCAACUUAUGUGGCACAUUUCUCUUAUUUUUCUUUAAAAAGUUGUGUACACUUUUUUUAACACUAAGUGCACCAACUUAAGUUGCAUACCUCUUCUUUGUAGGGUUUUACCCUUGAAUGCGCCACUUAAGUUGUACACCUCUUCUCUAUAGGGUGUGUAAGGUUAUUAUUCUCAACACUCCAGUGCCCCAACAUUUUUUCUGCAAGGUGGCACUACUUAAGUUGCACACAUCUUCCCUAUAAGGUGGGGUAUCUCUGUGUGUGCCACAUCCCAAUUCUCAACAUCCCAACACCCCAAUAUUUUUACUCUAGUACAAUUAUACUCUCAAUGUUAUAUUUAUAGUUUUAUUUUAAGUAAAUGUCCUCAUUUAUUAUGUCAUUUAUGUAUUAUUUUUUCAUUUAUAUCUCCAUCUAUUUUAAUUUUAUAAUGUAAAUAAUGGAAUACCUCAUAUUUAAAUACAACAAAAAAUAAUUUUCAAAAGCUAAUUCUAAGUAAAUCAAAAUCUUAUUUUUCAAAUUUAGUUAUAAAUUGAUAGUUUUUGCUAAAUUUUCUUCGAAAAAAAGUUUCCCUAACUAAAAUUAGAAAAGAUAAAAAUCCUAAAAAAAUUAUUUCGAAUAUUACCAACAUGAAAAAUAACAAAAUUCGUCACUUUUUACCUUAAAUUUUGAAACAUUUAAAAAUAAACCUAUUUCUCAUACUUGGUAAAAUUUUUACACAACUAAGACAACAAAUAAGGUGAAUAUGAAAGUUUUCAAUCCAUUAUACCAUUUUAUCUAUUCUCUUAAACAAAAUAAAAUUUAAAAUUGGAAAUUUGUAAAAUAAAGUUUUAUGCUAUUGUUAUUAUUUGAAAAUAUAUAUUUAAUAAUAAUCAUAAAAAAUCUAGUAGUUACGUGUACAUUAGAACUAAAAUUCCUAGAAAUGAGAGUAAAUGCUUAGCAUAUGACAUAUUAUAAUUAAACCAUAGUUUUAGAAUUUGAGAUGUAACAAAUUCAAUAUUAAUUGAUUUUUUUUUUCAUCUAGCAUUAGGUUAUUAGAUAGCUUCUAGCUAUAAGAGUAGAUAGGAAUAUAUAUAUACUCGUAGACCACCUAAGAAGGAAUAUUUAUUUUUUGAUUCUUAUCCUAACAUAAGAAGUCCAAUGGGAACAAUACUUGAAAUAGUGAUCCAUAAAAAAAAAACCAAUAUUGAGAUUGGAUAGAACAAGGUUAGAGCCAAAAGGAAUUAUCAAAUAACUUAGUAGAAUUUAUAUGACUACUAUGGAUGAUCCAAUACUUAAUAAACAAGUAUAUCCUCUAGAUGGAAGAAGAUUCUCUUUGAAAGGUAGUUUUGUGCCAUCUACUAGAGCUUGAAGAAUUCCCAAAGGAUCGGCAUGCUCUACGAAUGAAUGAAUUUGAUAAAAUUGGAAAAUGGAAAGAAUUGUACAAGUUAGACGUUUCAUCACCACUUUGUGGAAAAUCGUUAAGUAUGAAUAUGUUAGAUACUUGUGACUCGAUUGGUGAAAUAGUUUUUGUCACACACAAAAAAAUAUUUUCUUGCGAAUGAACAAAAUAUUAAGAAAUUGUCCAUAUGUAAAAUCACAAUUAUUGAUAUGGGCCUUUGCCAUUCCUAAAAAUGAGAGUAAAUGUUUAACAUAUAACAUAUUAUAAUAUAAAUAUUUUAUCAUUAUCCAUUAAUUUACAUUUCAAAUUCUAUAAUCUUAGACUGACCAUUUAAUAUUAUAAUUAAACUAUAGUUUUAGAAUUUAGAAUGUGACAAAUUCAAUAUUAAUUGAUUUAUUUUUUAUUUAUGUAGCUUUGGUUAUUGGAUAGCUUCUAGCUAUAACAGUAGUAAGGAAUAUAUAUAUCCAAUUUUCUGCUAUAAAAUUGUGGAAAAUGGUUAAACUUCAAUUCUGUUAUACAUAACUUUUUAUUUAUACAAUAAAAUUAUAAUUUAUCUAUGUAUAUUAUGUAUAUCUUUUGGCUAUAGACUUGUUGAUUGUCAAUUUUGUUCUAUAUAUAUUUCGUUAUAUAACAUAAUUAGAAUUUUUAUUGUAUAGUUUGUAACUAUAGAAUUGUUGUUUGAUAAUAAAUUUGUUCUCUAUAACUUCUAAUUAUUAUAAAAAAAAUUAUAAAUUUUCGUUAUAGCUUUUGGUUACAAUAUUUUAAAUUGAUAAUUUUGUUUUAUAUGACUUCUGAUUACACAAUAUAAUAAAAAAUUGUCUACAUAGUUUCUAACUAUAAGAUAAUUGGUAACAAAAAAUUGUGUUCAUAACUUCUAGUUAUGAGUAAAGUAAAUAAACGUUUUAGUAAUAAAAUAAGAAUACUAUAAGAUACUGUUUUUCAUAUAUCUUUUUCAAAUUAAAUUGUUUGAAGAAAGAAAGAGUGCAUACUUUUCUAGAUAUGAAUGAGUGUUACAAGUAGGCAAAACCUUUUAUGGAUGAAAUCCUCUGUUUUUUUCAACUAGAGUGUCGUGCUAGUAAUGUAUUGUACAAGUAAAAAUGAAAAAGAAAAUUAGAGCGAAUUAUUUAGAGAAAAAAUUCAAAGAAAUUGAACCUUGAAAUUAUCUAACCUUAGGCUUAUUUCAAAGGUUAUAAUUAUAAUGACUAAAAUAUUGCUUUUCUAAUAACUGGGAACAUUAGUUACAGGCAUAUUUGAAAGGUUUAUUAUGCGAAAUUGUGACAUUGAUAAAUAUCUUCACCUAUUUAUAACAAAAAUAUACUUUUUCCAAACAAUUUCCAAAUAUUCAAACUGUCGAGAAUGUUUGAAAUUUCUGUGGGAAUUUGAACCAUGCCCUUUUGGACAUUUGAACCAUUCUUGGCCAUUCAAAUGCUGAACCUGGGAGCAUUUGAAUUUACUUCCUACUUCCCUUUCCCGCUUCAACGUUUUUUUCCAUUUUUCCAAAUCUUUUCAAUUUUAAAAACCAUAUUUAUGUUUACUAACAAUUGGCCUAAUACAAAAAUAAAACAGUGGCCUAAUACAUUAUCAAAAAACACUUCCAGAAAUAUCUAUCUUUUGGUACAUAUAAAUACGUACAAUUGAUUCUUCAUGAAAAUAUUUAUGAUGGAAGUGUUAUCAAUAAAAGGGUCAUAUGCUUCUUCACAAAGAUGUAGUGUAAAAAUAUUUACUAUAAAAUUGGCAUGGAUAAAAACAUUACAAAUUCGAAACAUUUUUACUGAAAUCAUUUCAAAAUGGGCAUAAACCUACUUAUGCUCCCCUAAAUAAUUAAAUCCAUGAAAAAAAUGAAACAUCUCUUGAGUUUGGUCCAUUUGCUUGUUGGGAUAUUCUCUUAGCAAACAACUUCGUCACAAAUUAAUUUUCAAUUCAUGAUAAGAAAGAAUUAAGUUAUUUUUUUCUGAAGAUUUUUAGAUGACAUGAUUUAAUGAAUAUACUUAUAUAAUUGAAUAUUAUUAUUAUUAUUAUUAUAAAAACUAUUUUUCAUAUUUUAAAAUAUACACCCUCUUCAUUUUCAUUUCCACCCCCGGGUGCCUGAUUUCCCAAACUCACAUGCUAGAAAGAAGAAAAUCAAGGUUUUUAGUCAGUGAUGCCCGCCCUCCCUCCCUUGUCUCCUCUAAGCAAAGCCGUAAGUGAAGAAACUACCCCAUGAGUUUCGUCAAUUUGCACGUGGGCAUAUGAGGCAAGAAAACAUCCAAAGGCCACGAUUACCUGAUAUAUACCUUUUGAACGUCUUCCUUACCAUUAUAUUAAACUAUUUUCAUCUUCAAUAUCAAAUUGUACUAGUCUUUCUUUAUGCAUGUAUGGGGCUAGUAAAUGUGUCUCAGGUGGAUUUUAAAAAUGAAGGCAACCCAAGCCCAGCCAAUUGGGGUUGGGUUUCGAGUAAAACUCGUACACAUACGUCGUACGUGUCCUUUUCAGAUUUUCCUCACUGGUCACCCACCCACCGAGGAGCACAAUACGUCUGCACAUACGUGUGCAAAAAAACUCAUCAUCUAACCGUGGAUUCCUGUCGCUGUUGACUCCACCCCUAUCUCUAUGCCUAUAAAAUACUCACUUGGUUUGAACCGAUGUCCACAGAGCAGAUCGUCAUUUGGUGUGAGCUUGAGAAAAUUAACACAGAGGCAGCUUUUGAGUUAAUUUGCAGAUUACAUGGCCACUGGAAAGUUGAGGAACCUUUUGGAAGGGCUGAAGCCAGCCAUGACAAUGGUGAUAGUUCAGAUAAUAUUUGGAGGGCUAAAUAUUAUGUACAAACUGGCUAGAAAUGAUGGCAUGAGCAUGAAGAUUUUGGUCGCCUACCGAAAUAUCUUUGCAACAGCUAUUAUGGUUCCACUUGCUCUAAUCUUUGAAGGGUGAUUCUUAUUAAUCUUGUCUAUUUUUUUUUUCCGCAUCUUUAAUUUUGUUUUAUCUUUCAUUCACUCUUUUCAAAUUUAUGGUGAACAUUUAAUUAAAGUGUAUUAUAAUUUUAACAGGAAGAGUAGGCCAAAACUGACAUGGAUGAUCUUCCUCCAGGGCUCAUUAUGUGGAUUAUUUGGGUAAGUCUAAUGAUUAAUUAGAAAAUAUUUUUUUAUUUAUAUAUAUACACAUUAAGAAAUAUCUUUAAUUCCUUCAAUGCUCUAUCUUGUUUGUAAAUGACUUUGCAGGGGUGCGGUUCUUAUAGAGUAAUUUUACUCCAUGUCUUCAUAUUUAUGAUAUGAAAUGUUUUCAAUAAUAUUUUAUCCUACACUUCUUAUACAUAAAAAUUUAUUAAAUAUUCUUAUAUUUUCUGACAUAAACUUUGAUUGCAGAGGGUCAUUAGGUCAAAAUUUAUAUGCCGAGAGCCUAAGCUUAACGUCAGCAACAUUUGUAGCGGCAAUGACAAACCUGGUUCCAGCUAUGACAUUUGUCAUGGCAGUUUUCUUAAGGUAUUUUUUUAUUUAUUUAUUUCCUACUGAUAUUUUAGUACUAAAAUUUAUAGUAUUACACAUUUAAGUUUCUUAAGGAACAAAUGCUAAACCCUAGUCCUAUUUUCUUCUAGGAUGGAGAGAUUAGCAAUUGGAACAAUUGCGGGAAAAGCUAAGUUAAUGGGAACUAUAAUGAGCCUAGGUGGUGUAAUGAUUCUAACAUUUUACAAAGGAGUAGAGAUCAAGUUAUGGUCAACCAACAUCAACCUACUACAUCAUGGUGCUGCAGCAUUACAAGAGUCGUCUCCUAAUCAAGUGUUGGGCUCACUAUUGGCUGUGGCUAGUUGUGUCUGUAUUGCAGUUUGGUUGAUAGUCCAGGUGAUCAAGGUUCAGGUUUUCUUUUUUCUUCAAAUGAUAAAUCAAAUACCUUUACUGAUAGGGAAAUUGCUCUCGUAUUUUGGUUUUUCUUCUUUUAUUUGGACAGACUAAGAUGAGCAUGGUGUAUCCAAGCUACUCCGGAACUGCUCUAAUGUGUGUUUGUGCAUCAAUUCAAUCGGUUGUAUAUGCCAUGUGCACUGAGAGGGACUGGUCCGCAUGGAAACUUGGUUGGGACAUUAGGCUUCUCACUGUUGUUUACUCAGUAAGAUAUUUCUUGAAAAUUUUAUAUAAUUCAAUGAAAUGUGAGAAGAAUAAAGAUUUUCUAACAAAGUAUUGAUUGACAUUCAAUUUCUCUUCCAUUCAAACGAUAUUGAGAAAUCGUUUAUGAAUAUGUUAACUUAGUGGAUGAUUUUGAGUUAUAACAAGUAGAAUUUGUUGUAUUGCAGGGAGUGUUGGCCUCUGGAUUAAUGGUUACACUAAUGACCUGGGUUUCAAGGAUGAGAGGCCCAUUGUUUGUAUCUUCUUUCUUUCCCUUAAUGCUUGUAACCGUUGCAAUACUUGGGUCACUCUUACUCCACGAACAGCUACAUAUAGGAAGGUUUGAAUAUUCAAAUUAAAACCACCUUACCUUCAAAGAUUUCAUUUGUGCUCUGACAUUAAUUCUUGGUACCUAUUUUUAUAACAGCAUAAUUGCAGCAGUGUUGAUCAUAGUGGGCUUGUAUAUUGUUUUAUGGGGAAAAGGCAAGGAAAUGAAGCAGACCGCCCAAAUCCAUGCAGCACAAAGCUUUAGCGAACAAGAUCUGAGACAUAUUGUCAUAGAAAAUUCAAGUAACAGUGAGUGUAAACCAGAAGCAAGUGGUAUUAUUGGUCCCAUUGAACCUGCUGACCUAGGAUCUGGAGUGCCAUCUGCAGCUGCAGUGGUGAACAAAUAAUGUCAUAGUGAUAUCUUCCAUAUAAAAUUGGAAGAGAUAGCAGUAAACUAGAAAAGGAAAUUGAUUUGUGUUAUUAAUGUUGUUCAAUGUAUAUUAGAAAUUCAUUUCAGUUAACUAAAAUCUUUUACAAACAAUGUUCCUCUAUUUUUUUUCUCUAAAUUCUGACAUUUUCUGGCAGCAAAUGAGUACUAUUACUGCAAUGUUCUUCACCUACUUUGCUAAUUCACUCUAGUUGGUGAAUGAAUUUUGCUGAUGGAAGGACAACUUCUCCAUCUGCAAAUAUUGAAAUCCAUUUACAGUGUCCUCAAUGAAUAAAACGUAAAAAAGAUGUGUGAAAAUAAAGCUAAGAAUAUUGGAUCAUGAAACAACUCUAAUAGACCUUACAUGCAUGUAGUCUGGAUGGUGAGAAUGACGAAGGAACCUUGUAAGACUUAGGUGAUACUAAGAGUUCAUUUGGCACUAAUUUUAGAAAACAUUUUUAACUUUUUGAACACAAUGAUAAAAAUUUAUGAAUGUUGGAAUGAUUUCCUAAAAUCACCGGCUCUAAACCAUUCACAUUUGGUAUCUCUGUUUCUGACAAGGGAAGCGCAUAUAAUGCGGCAGAUCUUCGGGAUCACAGUAUGCGGAAAAUAUCUGAAGGUUUUGAUGUGGCAACCUUUGACGUUGAUUUUGGGCAAUAUCACAAGGUCUCUCUACCACCAGAUUCAUCCCGUAUAGAGGGUGUGAUCAAAUAUAGGAAAGGAAGAAGCACAGAAUUAACACCUACCAUCCACUAAGCCAAGCCAUGACUAAUGAAACUCCCCAAUCAUUAAUCUAGUUCUUCCAUGAGGCCAACCACUGUGUGACAAUUGUAUGUGAGAUCUUAAGGCCAAUUUGGACCUAAUGGACUAGGUUGCCGUAGUGGGAUUGACAACUACUCAAGCGCAUCGAAACUAAGGUUGCCCUUGGGGGGAAACUUUCCUUUUCAGACCUCAACACGUCUGAAUUAAUGUUUGUAAGCAUUCGCAACUUCAAUGGAUGCCUCUUUCGUACUGUACUCAACAUCUGCUUGGGCUACUCUUAGGAAUCUUUGAGUUGCACCGGAAGUUUUAAUACUAUACAUUAAUACAAUAAUCCAAAGAUGAAAUCAUUUACUCAUAACCAUAUGUUUGUACCAACGGAUGAAGCCUUGAUCACUUAUUGUGUAAGUAAAAGUUUUAAUCCUAACAUACUCGAAAAAGAAAACAAAGAUAAAAUAAUCCUCGUACAUAGAUAUACAAGGUUUUAAGGUGAUUCAAUAUCAUGCCCAAAUUUGUUGAUAAGAGAAAAUCAUUCCAAUAUUCCAUAAAGAAUAUUACAUAGGAUGGAAGAACACAUACAAUUAAGUCUUGAAAUAUCCUAUGUUUCUACAUUCCUUAUGUCUAUACCAUGAGUCAUGAGUUUUAUAGGUAGAAUCAUUAAUACUAAUAUAAUAGAAAAAGAACACGAAGAUGAAACAAUCACACAUAAAGAUACGUAAGGUUUUAAUGUGGAUCAAGAAACCAUGUCUAAAUCCAUGGAUGAGAGAAAAUAAUUAUACUAUACCAUAGAAAAUAUUAUAAAGGACAAAAAAAUAAAGAUUGAAACAUUUCAUGUCUCCCAUUCAUCUCUAUGUUAUUACUAUGCAUUUUUUGUCCCAUAAGCCCUCCUUCUUGUCUCUUCAUUGAACAAAUUUCCCUUCACAAGCUCCAUAGACAAUGCACCAUUCAGAACAAAGUUGCUAAUAGUUACAACAAAAGUUUCCCAACUGUCUAGUAGUAAACACAACAUAGAUGCUUGCAUCUUAUAAUCGAUAACCAUUUUCAUGGUAGCCAACUAAUUAACAAUACUCUAAAAAACAUUCAAGUGAUCUAUCAUUAGUGUUCUUUCCUUUAGCUUCAUAUUCGUCAACUUCUUUAAUAAGAAAAUUUUAUUCCCAACAGUUUUUUGUUCAAACACUAAUUCCAAUUUCUUCCAGAGAUUAUAGACAUUUGUUUCAUUUGCCACAUGAUGAUGUGAGGAUGUGUCAAUCCAUUGCCUAAUAUAGGCAAUUGCCUUUUUGUUCAUCUUAUUCCAUUCCAAAUCAGAAAUAUCUUUAGGUCUGGCUUCUUCACCCUUAAGAUUAUUUGAAAAAUCUUUAAUGGUGAAAAAAUCUUCCUUCAUGGACUUCCAUAUAGCCCAAUUUGAAUUAUUAAGUUUUAUCAUGGAGGUUGAGUUCCCUUCUAUCUCCAUUCCUUUCGCAACUAGACUUUGAUACCACUUGUUGGGAAGAUAAAGGGAGAGAUUUAGAGUAUUAACCUGUCAAGGUUAAAAGAUUCCUCUACAAUAAUAACCACCUCUCAAGAAUAAUAACCCAACAAAAAUCAAGAAUGACAAUCAAGAACAUUCAACCACAAAAGAGGACAUCAAAUAUAACGUGGAAAACCCCUUUGGAUAGAGGUAAAAAAACCAUAGAGAAAAUUUCUCCCACUUCAAUAAAUGGGGAUACAAUAAUUAAAUUCUGACUUGAGGCGGGAAUCCAUCACCCUAGGAAACAUGAACAGAAAAAAAAUCAGGGAGAAAAUAUACCACAAGAAUUCCCCAAAAGUUUGAUGAAAGGAACCUGUAACUUCACCCUUGAGCCUUAGAACAAUGACUAGAAAAACAACCUUGAUCUUCUUUCAUUUUCUCAAUCAAAUGCCCUUCUCUCUCAUAAUACCAAAACCCUAAUGCUAUUUAUAUAUCCAUAUUUGGGCUUAGGGAAUACCCAAAUAUAAAAUAGCCUAAUAUAUGGGCUCAUGGCUGGACAAACAUAAUCCAACAGAUUAUAGUGGGCUUGUAUAUCGUUUCAUGGGGAAAAGGCAAGGAGAUGAAAAAGACCGCCCAAGUCCAUGGAGCAAAAAGCUUUAGCGAACAAGAAUUGAGACAUAUUGUCAUAGAAAAUUCAUUUAACAGUGAGUGUAAACCAGCAGCAAGUGGUAUUAUUGUUCCCAUUGAAUUUGCUGACCUAGGAUCUGGUGUGGCAUCUGCAGCUGCAGUGGUGCCUGAAUAAUGUCGCAGUCAUAGCUUCUAUACAAAAUUGGCAGAGAAAAGGAAAUUGAUUGUGUUGUUGAUGUUGUUCAAUGUAUACUAGAAAUUCAUUUCUGUUCAUUAAAAUCUUUUACAAACAAUGUUCCUCUAUUUUUUUCUCUAAAUUCUGACAUUUACUGGUAGCAAAUGAGUAAUAUUAAUGCAACUAUCGCUAUUCAUUAACAGUGUCUUCAAUGAAUAAAACGUAAAAAGAUGUGUGAAAAUAAAUUAAGCUAAGAAUAGCGGGAUCAUCAAACAAUUCUAAUAGACAACAUGGUCUAGUCAACAAUAAUGAUGGGUACACACCUAACAGUUCCUUGGUAUAAUGGCGGAGAGUGUGUUUAAAGGGUGGAAUAUGCUUAUCUUCAAAAGCUAGUUGGUUAUUUUCGGCCACCGAUUUUCUUAAAAGCUUAAACUUUUCGGAUUUUGGCGUACAAUGUAUUUAUAUUAUGCUUCUCCACCAUUCCCCUCUUUCUAUGAUUUUAAGUUUUUAAGAAAAUUGAAACUCAACAUGGUAUCGGUGCUCUAAUUAAUUAGAUAUAUCAUAUUGAAGUUAUUAUCUCAAUCUAUUUAUUUGUCCAAUUAUUUGUGAUUAUAAAUAUACAAUUUUUAUGUAGCUUUUUUAAUGCUCAUAUCUAAUUAUCUAUAAUUAAACAUGUGAUUUGUAUGGUGAGUAAUUAUCUUUAAUCACAUCUGUACAAUGGAUAUAGAGUCGCACAUGAAAGAAGGUGAAUAUGCCUAAUUAUUUGUGAUCACAAAUGUGUGAUUUAGGUGGUGUUUAUUUUUUAAAACUUUUUUUUAAAAGCAAUUUACUUUUAGAUUUUAUAUUGUUUAUUCUUUUACUUUUUGUUGACUUAAUACUUAUUUCAGAUUUUUUUUAUUGAAUAGAAAAAAAUAAAAUAUUUAACUUUUUCUAAAUGUUAAGAAAAAUAUGUUGAUUUUUUUCACCGUUUCAUAUUUAAUAGAAAUAAAAUAUUAAAAUAAAUAAAUAACUUAAUUAUUAACAUUAUUAAAUAUUAUUUAGUUUUAAAUUCUAUUUAAGAAUUGAGUGAAAAAAGCAAAGCAACACCUUACUACCUUAGCCGCCAGUGCACAGCUAUUACUAUCUAGGCCACAUGUAAUAGUUGUUGAGAGUUCCAACAAGAAGAAUAUCUUGUAGUGAUUUACCUCUCUUAAAAGGGAAUAUCUUUGUAGUAGAGAAAAGUACUCAAGAAAAUUCAAACAGAUUUAUGACAACCUUGUAGCCAUCGACAAGCCAACAUUCGAGCUUGAUAAAGUAAGUCAAUUUGCUACAGCACUGGAGGCAAAGUUUCAAGAAUUCCAAUGGACGUUUCAACCCGAUGGACAGUCUUAAUAUUGCAAGCAAGUUCAAGAUGCUUGAUACUCCUAAAAAUUCAAUUCGAAUGACCUGUAGUAAUGGUCUGAAACCCAUCUAGAAAACAAUCUUCAUCCACAUUCUCAAUGACACUUUUCUGACUGAGCAAAGCAAUAAGUGAUGGAACUUCCUCGUGUGUUCUGUCCAUUAGCAUAUGGGUAUAUUAUGCCAGUAAAUUUCGAAAGGGAACUAGAAAAAUUAAGACCACAUUCACACUGCCGACUUUUUGAAAGUGUUCCUUAGUUUUUUAUUCUUCAAAUAAUUGAUGUUUUAAAAAACUAUAUUCAUGCUCAAUAUCAAAUUGGCCUGCUCUUUCUUUGCGCAUGUUAGAAAGCACAAAACUAACACCUACCAUCCACUAAGCCAAGCCAUGGCCAAUGAAACUCCCCAGUCAUUAAUCCAGUUCCUCCACUAGUAUGCAUGAGGCCAACCAACCUGUAACAAAUGUGUUUGACAAAUUAAUGCCAAUUUUGACCUAAUGGACUAAGUUCCCGUAAUGGGAUUGACAACUACUCCAGACCAUCGAAACUAAGGUGGCCCUUGGGAGGAAACUUUCCUUUUCAGACCUCAUGCAAGAACGUUUGUAGGCAUGCUCAACUUCAAUGGAUUCCUCUUUCGUACUAUACUCAACGUCUGCUUAGGCUACUCUUAGAAAUCUUUGAGUUGCACCGAAGUUUUUAUACCAUAUAUUAAUACAAUAAUUUAAAGAUGAAAUCAUUUAAUCAUAACCGAUGAAGCCUUGAUAACUUAUUGUGUAGGCAAAAGUUUUAAUACUAACACAUUAGAAAAGGAAAACGCAAAUAAAAUAAUCUAUAUACAAAGAUAUAUGAGGUUUUAGCAUGAUUCAAUGUCAUACCUAAAUUUGUUAGAGAAUAUUUUAUAAGACAAAAAAACACAUAAUUAUUAAGCCUUCAAACAUCCAAUGUUUUUACACUAUUGUGUCUCUAUCAUGAAUCACGAGCUAUAAUAGAAUUUGUUGUGUAGGCAAAAUCUUUUAAUACUAACAUUGUAUAAAAAGAACACAAAGAUAAAACAAUCUACACAAAGAUAAUUGAGAUUUUAAUGUGAUUUAAGCAACCAUGCUUACACCCAUAAGUGAUAGAAAAUCAUUCUAUUAUAUCAUAGAAAAUAUUAUAGAAGACAAAAGAAUAAAACCUUGAAACAUACCAUGUCUCCCAUUCAUCUUUACCUCAUUACUGUUUUCUCAUCAUGAAUUAUAAUAUUUAUAGAGAUAUUUCUAAUGUACUAAUUCUACAUAAAAAAAAUCAAAUAAUACAAUGAUAUAUCAAUAUAGGAAAUAUUCUAUAUAAUAUUUGCAACAAAAAGGGAUAUAUACCAUAUAGAACCACAAAUGAAAGAACAUCAAUUCUCUACAUUAUAAAGAAAUUAUAGAGAAAUGAUAAAAUAGACACAAGUUAUAGAUCUUGAAACAAUUUCAUGUUUUCUUACCCCCAAUAUCUACACCUUGAAUGAGAAGCCCUCACUCUAUUAGGUGUUUUCACUCUUCUUUACAUCUUGACCCACUCGGUAUAUGCUUUAUAGGUCUUAUCCUGAUCUUGUAAUUAACUUUUUGUCUCCAUGACUUAAAGUACUUAUAGAUAUAUUCCUAACCUCUUUCUUAUUAUACAAAGAUAUCUAGUAUAACAAAGAAAUAUUAAGUCAAUCUUCUAUCUCUUCAUGAAAAACACCUCAAUUGUACACAAGUUAGAAUUUUAAAGCAACUAGACUAAGAUUUAUAUGGUGUUGGAAAUAGAGAUAAGCUUAAAACAUAAAAGUAUAGCAGGACAUAUAUUUCAUACUUCAAGUGCUUAACAACCAAGUAAGAAGGUAAAUGGAUAAUCCUUACUUCCUCAAUCUGUGAAUUCUUUUAUAUCAUUGCAUUUAAUCCUAUAAUAUACCUUUGUGAUAUUCGCCACAUCAUGAAAGACAAGUUUUAUGUAUUGAUGAUUGUCCAUAAUUGUUUGUUGUUCAAAAUAAUAAGUUUAAAUUCAAAGCAACUCUAGCCGACAAAAACUAAAAAAAGUAUCACUACCACUUGUAUGGUACUCUAGGUAUUAUCCUUAAGGACUAAAUUAUGGAUGAUAAUGAUGUUAGGUCAAGGAGAUUUACUAUUACCUAAAUUGUAAAGUAAAAAAAUUGAGAAUUGAUUUACUUAAAUUAAGGGUAGUUGAAAUAAUCCUAAUUACUAAUAAAAUUGAAUGUUAAUUUCUAACUCAAUUGAUCAAAUUUGGAGGCUCCGUAAUCCAAUUUUAGGAGUAGAGCUUUGAAGAGAACAAAAGUUUGUUAUCUUCAAUGAUCUUAAGGUUAUUAGGAUACUUGGUCACUCAAGAUCAACUUAACUUCUAUAACUUAUAGUUAUAACUUAAACCUAAUUCUUUGACUUAGGAUGAAUAAAAGUCCCAUGUCUCACAUCAGUUUAUUACCAACAUUGGUUGGGCCUUAUAUGUAGCCUCUACUCCCCACAAGCUUAAGCUUUUAAGAGUGUAUGUUGUAUCGCAUCAUUUGGUAUCAUGGUGAGGUUUGGCCUGGCUCACCUUGUGCUCGUUAACAUUGGCGUUAACAUUGAGUAGGGGGGGUGUUUGAAGUACAUAGGAGGGACAAACAAUGACCCAAAUCAGCUGAUUACCAACAUUGGUUGGGCCUUAUACAUGGGGUUACCUUUUCUUCCCAUUAUCAUAGGUUUUUGGGAGUGUAAAUGCCUUGCAUCAUUUUCCUUUUCAAUUCAUAUUUCUAAUUCCCAUAUGAUGAAUGAUAUCUAAUUCAGGUUCAAGUCACAACUUUUUAUCACUUACUACUUAUAGAUUUGUAUUAAGAUGGAUAGCUAUAAAGAUAAUCAUGAUAACAAAGGAUCAAGGGUAGCUAAGAGUCUCUAGUAUCUUGUAGUACUUUAGGCAUCAUCUUUAAAAACUAAAAUAUGGAUAACAAUGAUGUUAGGUCAAGGAGAUUUACUAUUGCCUAAAUUGUAAAGUAAAAAUAUUGAGAAUUAAUUUAAGUAAAUUAAAAGUAGUUAAAAUAAACCUAAUUACUAAUAAAAUUAAAUAUUGAUUUCUAACUCAGUUGAUUCAAAGUUGGGGGCUCCAUAAUCCAAUUUUACAAGUAGAUAUUUACAGUGAACAAAAGUUUCUUAUUUUCAAUGAUCUUAAGGUUAUUAAAAUACUUGGUGGCUAGAGAUGAAAUUGAGUUCUACAACUCAUAAUUACAUCUUUUUCUUUCUUUUUCUAACAAGAUUAGUUGUAUUAAGUAUUAUUCUCCUGUUUUAUGCAUGUUUCCAAAAGCAACUUAGGGCUUAGAUUGCAUGUAGAUGGCCCUCCAAGUAGCCUAGCUAUUCAUCCUGAUCAUUAAGAUGUCUUGAGGACAUUUUCGAAAAUGAGGCCAGCUUGAAAUUAGAAAAGGGCAGUUCAAGCUCCAUAUGACAAUAUAAAUUACUACUCUAGCAACAUUUUGGAACAAUUCCUUUCUCUGUUCUCUCUUAAGACUUUAUUGCAUGUGUGAUGAUCUUAAUUAGGAAAAUCCAGUUCUCAUUUCAUUGCAUUAAUAAAUGUUCCGAUCCAAUUGAUAAUGUUGAGUCUUAUAUAAUUAAAAUAAAAUUGUUUUAAAUGGAAUCAUGGGCUGUAGCGUGAGUCGUAAUUAUGAAAAUACCAUCUCUGUCUGAUGGCAUUGGGAUAAGGUCACAUGCAUCAAGCUUUAAAAUGUGAAAAUAAACAAGGUAACAUUUUGUAUAUAUAGAAAAUGAUACUCUCCUCAAAUAAGGUAACAUUUGAUUAAUCAAACAAGAAAAUGGUAUAGGAUAUCAUUAAUAUUUGUUUCACUCGAAAAGGACAACCAGAUAUCGUCCACUCUUUUAUUUUAGGGAGAAUUAUCUUUUGGGGCUAGAUGGACCCCCAAAUUAACAAAAGGUCCAUAUAACUCUUCAAAUUGAGUUGAAAGAUAUGAAAUAGUAAUGGACAAAUAUACCCUUUAAGAACAUAUAUAAAAUAUUUUAUAAAAUUAAGUUAAAUAAUUUUUUUUCAAUAAUUUUUUUUUCAAAAAUACUAAAUUAAAUAAAAUUAGUUUUCAAAAAUAUUAAAUUAAAUUUUUUUUUCAAAAAUAUUACAUUAAAUUAAAGUAUUUAAAAAAAUAUUAAAUUAAAUAUUUUUUUAAAUAUUAAAUUAAAUAAAUUUAUUUUUAAAAAAUAUUAAAUUAAAUAAAUUUAUUUUAAAAAAUAUUAAAUUACAUAAAAGUAUUUUUAAAAAAUAUUAAAUUAAAUAAAAGUAUUUUUCAAAAAUAUUAAUUUUUUUCUCAAAAUCAACAAAGGACAUUUUUGGAAAUACUGAAGGAUGAUAUCCUUCAACUCAAUUUCCAUACUUUCAUUGGGUCUUGGGCUCAAUUUGAAGAGUUAUAUGGACCUUUUGUUAAUUUGGGGACCCAUCUACCCCCAAAACAUAAUUCUCCCUUUAUUUUAUAUCCAUUAUUCCCCAAAUCUGAAAAUCUUUGCAGAAUCUCAAAGUCAAAUGUUUGACCACUCAAAUAAGUUAUAUAUAUAUAUAUAUAUCUUUAAUAAAAAAUUUUCCUAAAUUCUACUUUAUUUUAGCACUCCCAAGAUUACAUGCAAUUCAUUCUAGUCUUCAAUGGUAGCUCAGUUUGUAAGUCAUUAGCUUCCAAGGGACUUCCAAGCUAAAACUAGUGUUUUUCCUCGGUUUAUAAACCUGUACAACCGGGGUAUUAUGAAAACAAUAAUAUUUUAAAUAUCACUGUUACGAUAUCAAAUGUAUAUAUAAAUUAUUUUAAAAUUUUUUGAAAAAACAACAAAAGUCAUGGUUCAAAAUCAUGUUCAUUUACAUUAGAGGAAAAUGCGAAGAUAUUGAAGUGAUAUCUAUCGAAAUCUAAAUCGGGAACUUUGAAUAUCAAUGAGCACAUAAAUAAAUAAGAUUAAGUUAUACAGGCGUAAAUAGAUUUGAUGUAUAAAUAAUAAGUAUACUUGGUUGUCCUAAAGCACAGAGAUAAAAUUGUAUGCCAUAUUAGACAUGGCCGCCUCCCACCAUCGUUGAAAUUAGUGAACUCACCAUGACCAAAGCAACAUGCCCAUGACUUUUCUCCACUUGCGUGUAUGAGGUUCCCGUAAUCGAAUUGGUAAUCCAAGACCAUACAUGGUGGUUGUAGACAUGAUUUGGGCUUGGACUUAGAGGAAACUUUUCGCCAGCCAAGCUGCCUUUUUAAGAGUUUGUCCUUUUAAGAGUUUUGCCUACGAUAGACCGCAAUACGCCUGCAAGGACGUCAGCAAAAGGACCCCCACACAUCACUUUGGAAAGCAUGAUCUAAGUGUGGAUUCUGGAUUGCUCUAUCUGACAUGAUUCCAACAGCCGGCAGCUCCACUAUUAUGAGGGCGCCUCUCUCAGAAAUCCCUUUUUGUCUAUAAAUACUCAUAUGGUUUGAACCAGAGAGUAUCCAAACAGCCUCCCCAACAGCUUCAUUUGCUUCAUAUAUAGUCAUUGGCUUGAGCUAUAAACAGCUUUUCAGUUGGUAUAUUACAUGGCUAGUGGGAAGUUUUGGAAUGUCAUGACAGGGCUGAAGCCAGUCCUGGCAAUGGUGGUGGUUCAAGUGUCACUGGGAGGAAUUAAUAUUAUGUACAAGUUGGGUAAGAGUGACGGCAUGAGCAUGAAGGUUUUAAUCGCCUACAGAUAUAUAUUCGCUGCAGCUUUUACGGUUCCACUUGCUUUGAUAUUUGAUCGGUAACUUUCAUUAUUUCUUAGUUUUGUUUUGUAGCUUGUGUUUAUUUAAUUUCAGUGUUUCUUCUCUCUCCCUUCUCUUUCUUGCUUUCUCUCUUCCCUUUUUGUAUGGGGUGAGCUUGUCCCUUGUGUGGCCUGUAUCACAACUGGGCUAAAGAAAAAUUAUUAUAUCUGUUAUCCUAAAUUUCAUUUUUAAAAAUGGGAGUAUAUGGUGAUGCUUUCUUUACUGACAUUUCUUACAAAUAAGAAAUAAAUUAUCAUGGUUUUAUCUCCGUUUCUCUUUCUCAAUUGCACAGAGAGCAUUUACUAAUAUUUGCCUCAUGUAUGGUAAACAGGAAGAGUAGGCAAAAAAUGACAUGGAUGAUCUUCUUGCAAGGUUCCUUAUGUGGUUUAUUUGGGUAAGUUUCAAAAAAUAUUUUAUUCUUGUAUUUUAUAUCAAAGGUGUUCAAUUUUGGCCAAAAAUGGUUUAGAUAGGUGAGUUUUCCUGUAAUGAAUCUAUACUUUCUCAAUGAACUCUUUCAUACACAUGAUGAAUAGUAUGCUCAAUUUUGCCAAAGCUUAGAUAGGGUGAUGCCAUGGUAGUUGUCAUAUAAACAGUUGAAAGGAUCUAUGACUAAAAGAUGUCAUUUUCUGCAAGACAUACACUGUUGAGAAUCGAGCUUAGUUACUACAAAUUUUGUUUUCUUCCAUUCAAUAUUUUGUUUGCCCUUCAUCUAGUUACAAUAACAGUAUUUGUAACACAUAAGAACAACUUCUAACCUAAAGUUUGAUUUCAGGGGGUCAUUAGGUCAAAACUUAUAUGCUGAGAGCUUGACUCUAACGUCCGCAACUUUUGCAGCAGCAAUGACUAACAUUAUUCCAGCCAUGGCAUUUGUCCUGGCAAUUGUCUUGAGGUAAUCCUCCUUUUCUUACCAAAAUUUUAAUCCUAUCAAAUUAACAUGGUUUCAAUAUAUGUUAAAGUUCCAGUUUAAUGAAAAAUAAAUCCUAAAUCCUAGCCAUCUUAUCUCAUAGGAUGGAAAGAUUAGCAAUUGGCACGGUUGCUGGAAAGUCUAAGGUGUUGGGCACUCUAUUAAGCAUAAGUGGUGCACUGGUUCUCACAUUUUACAAAGGAGUAGAGCUCAAUUUGUGGUCAACUAACAUCAACUUGCUGCAUCAUGGUGCAGCAACCUCACAGCAAUCAUCUAAUGAUCAAGUCUUGGGCUCAAUCUUACCUGUUGUNNNNNNNNNNNNNNNNNNNNNNNNNNNNNNNNNNNNNNNNNNNNNNNNNNNNNNNNNNNNNNNNNNNNNNNNNNNNNNNNNNNNNNNNNNNNNNNNNNNNUAAUCCAGGUGAUUUUGCUUAUUUAUUUAUUUAUUUUCUCUUCAGAUACAGAAAUUAAUUAAGUAUACACCUUUCACUAAUCUCAUAAUUGCUUUUGUGUUUUCCUAUUUCCUCUUUUAUAUGGACAGGCCAAGAUUAGUAUGGUGUAUCCAAGCUACUCUGGAACUGCUCUUACUUGUGUCUGUGCAGCGAUUCAGUCAGUUGUAUAUGCCAUGUGUGCUGAGAAGGAAUGGUCAGCAUGGAAACUUGGUUGGAACAUAAGACUUCUCACUGUUGUUUACACGGUAAGAUAUUUCUUGAAAAUUUGUGUAUAAUUCAAUGAAUUUGGGGAGUAUUUAAGAUUUGUUUAAUUGGAAUGAUUUUAUUAAUAAAAUGUCAUAAAUAUUAUUUUAACCAUAUUCUUAUUUUUUAUAAAGUAUAUAUUGCAUUAUUUCAAAAUUUUGCACAAAUUGAACAACACACAUCUUGAUUUUAUAAAUUAGGUUGACUUCUUCAAAAUUUUCUCCAAAAAGAAUGCUAUUGUAUGAAGUUCGACAUUCAAUAAAACAAGUCUUAGGUGGUGUUUUUUUUUUUUUUUUUUUUGCUGAAAGCAAUUUGUUUUUAGAAUUUAGGUUAUUUGUUUUUCUACUUUUUCAUGACUUAUUAUAAACUUUUUACUAAAUAGAAAAAGUCAAAAUAUGUCUUUUUUUUUAAAUAGAAAAAAUAACAUAUUGGUUUUUAUUUUUAUUUUUUAAUACUUAAUAUAAAUAAAAUACUAUAAAAACAAACAACCUAAUAUUUAACACUAUUAACCAUUAAAGUUUUAUUUAGACUUAAGUAAAAAAACAAACACCACCUUAGUUGGAAAGCAUAACUGCUAAUUAACAUAUGAAAGACAUUCAAUAUUAAAAAUCGUAUUCAGUUUCAAUCAAUAAAUGGUGUUGAGUUAUAACAAAGUUUUGCUGUGUUGCAGGGAGUGUGGGCCACUGGAUUGAUGGUUGCAAUAAUGAGCUGGGCUGCAAGGCUGAGGGGGCCAUUGUUUGUAUCUUCUUUCUAUCCCUUAAUGCUUGUAACUGUUGCAAUACUGGGGUCUCUCUUACUCGACGAGCAACUAUACUUGGGAAGGUUUGGAUCAAAACUACUCUUCUACUUCAACUUAAAAAGGUUUCAUUUAUUCUGAUAUUAAUUCAUUAUUCAUUUAUGGAACAGCAUAAUAGCAGUAGUGUUGAUCGUAGUGGGCUUGUAUGGUGUUUUGUGGGGAAAAGGCAAGGAGAUGAAGCAGACCGACCAAAUAGAUGGAGCAAAAAGCUCUACGGAGCCAGAAUUGAGAGGCAUUGUCAUAGAAACCUCAUCUAGUACUAAGGGUAAACCGACCGCAACAAGUACUAUUUGUCCCAUCCAAGCUGCUGACUAGGAAUGGCAAUGGGGCGGGUUCGGGACGGGUCGCCCCCAUCCCAACUCCGCCCCGUUUAUUUAAAAUAAAUCUCAUCCCCGUCCCAUUUAAAAACUUAAACGGGGCGGGGCGGGGCGGGGCGGGUACAAUAAAUUCCUAUACCCGCCCCGCCCGCCCCGUUUAACUUUUUUUUUUUUUGAAUUCACCAUUGAAACCGGCGAGACAGGGCUUACUGCCGCAGUGCCGCCGCGAUAAGGUCUCUGUGGGUAAAGCCAACCACCACCCCUCCUUCGUGUACUGCUGCAGCACCGCCAUAAUCAGAUCUCUGUGGGUAACGUUGCCGCCCCUCCUUCGCUUACUGUUGCAGAUUAUCCAAACAAUUCACACGCCCCAGAAAGACUCAGAAUCAAAAGCAACAUUAUACAAUUAACCAAACAAACUGCACUAAAGCCUAGUAGUUGUACAAACUGAAGUUAACCCCAUGUGUGUCAUUCAAAUUCAAAACAGAAAUCAGUUAAAUAUUUUCCCAAAUGCUCUGUUUGGUUUCCAAGAAAAUGUGGGAAAAUAAAAGAUGGCAAAAUCUUGGAAUCUGCAUUUUUCAUCAUUUGGGACCUAGAGACAACAAUGGGGCUUCCAUGUUACCUCUGUUUAGGUUAGUCCUUCAGUUUCCGCGAACCAAAACAUCAUAAAAACAGAAGCUUGACAAUUUUCUUUCAGAAAAUAAAGAAACGAAGAAAUUGGAAUCGCGACUCACAGAAAAGGCGUCGGAACUGAAAUUUCCAGAGGCGGACAGAAGGCGCUUAGCAGCCUGACGAGCAUUGGCUACUUCAGACAGGCAAGUCAAGGGAGACGCCGACGAAGUCGACACAUCCAAAGGCCUCAAACCAGCCCCGAAAUCUCUGAUCUCCUCGAACAAAUGCGUCAAAAGCGCGAUCCUACGGACAAAAUCCGUGCAAUCCCGCUUGAACACACCUCCAUGGGUAACGCCAGUCGUCGCCCCUCCUUCGCGUACUGUCGUAGUGCCGCUGCGAUCAGAUCUCCGUGGGUAACUCCAGCCGCCGCCCCUCCUUCGCGUACUGCCGUAGUGCCGCCGCGAUCAGAUCUCCGAUUGUUGAAUCUGACGACAUCACAACCUGGACUGGCCAGCUUCCCCUUCCGGUUCUUCUCUUCGUGUCCUCUCCGGUGAGUCUUGGAAGUGGAGAAGAAGCUCUUUGGUUUCCGGCGACAGGAAGCUGCCAUACCUAGAAUGGUGGAAGAGUUCAAGGGCAAAAAUGUGAUGGAGGAUCGGGGCGGGGUGGGGCAAUACCCGCCCCCGCCUCGAACCCGCUCCGGGUUUUUUAAACCAUUCCCAAACCCGCCCCAAACCCGUUUAAUAAAAUUUAACCCUGUCCCAUUAGGGGCGGGGCGGGGCGAGUACCCGAAAAAACCCGCCCCAUUGCCAUCCCUACUGCUGACCGAGGAUCUGGUGCGGUUUCUCCUGCUGCAGUGGUGCAUGAAUAGCAUCAAUAUAUCAUACUGAUAUCUUUUAUUUGGAAGAAAAUUUUGAAGAAAUUCUUGUAUGUAUAUACAAAAUUCAUUUCUACGCAACCAAAUAUCCUAAAAACAGUGUACCCGCCCCGUAUUUCCUUUGCCUAAAUUGUAAUAUUUUCCGAUAAUAAAUGAUUAAUGUUUCAUGCAAUUUUUAUUUAUGUCACAGUUUGCUAAGUUAUUUAUGGUGGUGUAGGAAGUCCUACAGCUGCUGCUAUGCAUGAGAAUAGCUCUAUCUUCUUACCCUAUCUUAUAUGUGUAUCGUUUUCUAUGAAAUUGGAAUUCCAAAUUAUAGAAAAUUGAUACCUACAUUGGCAUUAGAAUUACAAAUUAAUAUAAUCAUCAUAUAAACUAACGAUGCAUGUUUUGGUCAUAAAUCUGCGGUCUCCAUCUUACAUACAUAUUUUCAAACAUAUAUUGAUUGAUUAAGAGUCAGUGUGGGAAUGAUUGUUGGAAGUUAGAAGUGUUUGGCAAUAGUAAAAAUGAUUUUUCUUAGAAAGUUGGGAGGCAUGACAAAGUAUUGUAAAUGAAUUUUAAAAGUCUAGCUAAUCACUUCUAUAAGUUUUGAAAUAACAUUGGAUGCUGGUGUAUAAAAAUGACUUUUUACAGGUUAGUUUUACUAUGAAAAAUAGUAAAGAAAGUGAAAUAUAAUUAAAAUUAUUAAAAAUUUAUAUAUUUUUAAAUUAUUUAAUCUUUAUAUAGAACAAUUGAAUAAGUGAAAAAAGUUUGAAAUGAUGUAUAAAAAUAAUUUAUUAACUUAAAAUUUUUUUUUUCUCUUUACUUUUAUUUUUUCUCUUUGUUCCCUUUCUCUCGCAUUUUUCUUCAAACUUUUCGAUAAUAAAACAUAACCUCAAGGUUUGAAAAAUAUUUAAAAUUAUAUUUGUAAAUCAAGAAAAUCACUUCAAGUGAUUCUUGAAUUAGCACUUUGAUAUGUGCUACUUCAGCUAAAAAUCAUUUUUUAUUAUAUAAUAUAUUAUCCAAAAAUACUUAAUUAUAUAGGAAUACUAUCUUCUAUACACAUCCAACACCAAUUGAUUCUUCAUAAAAAUAUUUAAUAGAGGUGUUAUCAACAAAAGCAUUAUAAGUUUCUUCAUAAAAAUAUAGUAUUAAAAUAUUUACUAUGGAAGUGAUGCUGAUAAAAACAUUAUAAAUUAAAAACAUUUUUACCAAAAUCAUUCUGAAAUCAGCCUAAACCUACUCAUGCUUCCAAAUGAAACAUCUCAUGAGUUUUGUCCAUUUGCAUGUUGGCAUAUCCUCUCUCCAAACAACUUCACCAUCAAUUAAUUUUCAGUUAAUGAUAAGAAUUUUUUUUUUUUUUUUAAUUUCGAUUACAUCAUAUUAUGAACAUACUUUGUACAAUUGAAGUACAAUUUAUCACAUUUCUUACAAUCUAAUAAAUUUUUUAAAUAAUAAUAAUACUAAAAAAAAAUAAAACUAUUUUUCAUAUUCUAAAAUACACAAACUCUUCAUUUUAAUUUCCUCUACUAGGUGCAAGAUUACCUUAAUUUACAUAUUAGAUAGAAUGAUAGGACACACGAUGAAAGUGGUAAAAGUUAAUGCACAAAAGAAGGAUAAGACUCCACUUUAACCAAUAUUUCCAUAAAUAAAGAGUAAUUAAAUAUUAAUAAUAUUUUAUUAUCUUAAUUUAGAAAAUAAUAUUUAUUUUCCUUAAUUUUAAGAUAUUUUUUAUUUGUUUAUUUUUUAUAAUUUACAAUAUACUAUUGUAUACAUUUUUUAAAAGAAAUAAUAAAAUUCAAGUCUUUCAUUGCAAAAAUUAUCAAAUUUUUUAUUGUAUUAGAGGAAGAGACUUAAACUUGAUUCUUCUCCAAAAGUGAUGGAAUGUCAUAAAAGUAUUGGUCAAAAUACUUGAAUAGGUAGAAAUUUUCAAUUUGGAGGGAAAAAGUUUUACCCUUACUACGUAUUACAAUUCUCGACAAAAACUAAAAAAUAACAUUUCUAAGUAUUACAAUUCUUAACAAAAACUAAAAAAUAGAAAUAAUAAUAAUAAUUUAAUAUUUAUAUGAUGUCUUUGUUUGAUAUUUUUAUCAAUCCUUUGGUAUGCCUUCACCAAGUUUCAAGGUAAGAUGGACAUUCAUAUACAUUCUCACUCUAGAGAAUAUAUUUAAAAAAAUAAAAAUUUGAAAGAGCAUAUUAAGGAAAAGAAUAAACAAAGACAAAAAAUGACAUAUACAAUAGUAAAUCAAAAGCAACAUUUUCAUAAAUAAAAAGCAAGCAAAUAUUAAUAAUAUUUGAUUCUCUUAAUUUAAAAAAUAAUAUUUAUUUAUUUAUUUUAAGAUAUUUAUAAUUUCUUUUUUUCUAUAAUUCGCAAUACAUUCUUUUGAAAACAAAUUAUGAAAUUCAUCAAACUCUUCAAUUAGAAAACGGAAAAUGAAGAAAGAAAAUUCAAGGUUUUUAGUCAGUGAUGUCUACCCUCCCGCCCAUGGCUCCUCUAAGUAAAGCCAGAAGCGAAGAAAUUACCCCUUUGAGUUUUGUCCAUUUGCACGUGGGCAUAUGACUCUAGAAAACGUCCAAAAACUAUUUGACGGCUAAGGCCACAAUCACUUGAUACAUACUUUUUGAACGUCUUCCGUACUGUUAUAUUAAACAAUUUUCAUCUUCAAUAUCAAAUUGUACUGAACUUUCUUUGUCAGUAUGUGGGCCUAGUAAACAUGUCUUAAGUGGAUUAAAAAAUCAUCAAGGCAACCCAAGCACAGCCAAUUAGGGUUGGGUUUCGAGUUAAACUUGUAUACGUACGUCCCAAGCGCCCUUUUCAUCUUCAAUAUCAAACUGGUGACCAAGGACUACACUACGUCUGCACAGACGUCUGCGAAUAUUUUUGUGUGCCACAUCCCAAUUCUCAACAUCCCAACACCCCAAUAUUUUUACUCUAGUACAAUUAUACUCUCAAUGUUAUAUUUAUAGUUUUACUUUAAGUAAAUGUACUCAUUUAUUAUGUCAUUUAUGUAUUAUUUUUUCAUUUAUAUCUCCAUCUAUUUUAAUUUUAUAAUGUAAAUAAUGGAACACCUCAUAUUUAAAUACAACAAAAAAUAAUUUUCAAAAGCUAAUUCUAAGUAAAUCAAAAUCUUAUUUUUCAAAUUUAGUUAUAAAUUGAUAGUUUUUGCUAAAUUUUCUUCGAAAAAAAGUUUGCCUAACUAAAAUUAACAAAGAUAAAAAUCCUAAAAAAAAAUUAUUUCGAAUAUUACCAACAUGAAAAAUAACAAAAUUCGUCACUUUUUACCUUAAAUUUUGAAACAUUUAAAAAUAAACCUAUUUCUCAUACUUGGUAAAAUUUUUACACAACUAAGACAACAAAUAAGGUGAAUAUGAAAGUUUUCAAUCCAUUAUACUAUUUUAUCUAUUCUCUUAAACAAAAUAAAAUUUAAAAUUGGAAAUUUGUAAAAUAAAGUUUUAUGCUAUUGUUAUUAUUUGAAAAUAUAUAUUUGAUAAUAAUCAUAAAAAAUCUAGUAGUUACGUGUACAUUAGAACUAAAAUUCCUAGAAAUGAGAGUAAAUGCUUAGCAUAUGACAUAUUAUAAUUAAACCAUAGUUUUAGAAUUUGAGAGUAAAUAUUAAUUGAUUUUUUUUUCAUCUAGCUUUAGGUUAUUAGAUAGCUUCUAGCUAUAAGAGUAGAUAGGAAUAUAUAUAUACUCGUAGACCACCUAAGAAGGAAUAUUUAUUAUUUGAUUCUUAUCCUAACAUAAGAAGUCCAAUGGGAACAAUACUUGAAAUAGUGAUCCAUAAAAAAAACGCCGAUAUUGAGAUUGGAUAGAACGAGGUUAGAGCCAAAAGGAAUUAUCAAAUAACUUAAUAGAAUUUAUAUGACUACUAUGGAUGGUCCAAUACUUAAUAAACAAGUAUAUCCUCUAGAUGGAAGAAGAUUCUCUUUGAAAGGUAAUUUUGUGCCAUCUACUAGAGCUUGAAGAAUUCCCAAAGGAUCGGCAUGCUCUACGAAUGAAUGGAUUUGAUAAAAUUGGAAAAUGGAAAGAUUUGUAUAAGUUAUACGUUUCAUCACCACUUUGUGGAAAAUCGUUAAGUAUGAAUAUGUUAGAUACUUGUGACUCGAUUGGUGAAAUAGUUUUUGUCACACAAAAAAUAUUUUCUUGUGAAUGAACAAAAUAUUAAGAAAUUGUCCAUAUGUAAAAUCAGAAUUAUUGAUACAGGCCUUUUCCAUUCCUAGAAAUGAGAGUAAAUGUUUAACAUAUAACAUAUUAUAUUAUAAACAUUAUAUCAUUAUCCAUUAAUUUACAUUUCAAAUUCUAUAAUCUUAGACUGACCAUUUAAAAUUAUAAUUAAACUAUAGUUUUAGAAUUUAGAAUGUGACAAAUUCAAUAUUAAUUGAUUUAUUUUUUACUUAUGUAGCUUUGGUUAUUGGAUAGCUUCUAGCUAUAACAUAGUCAGGAAUAUAUAUAUAUAUAUAUAUAUAUAUAUAUAUAUAUAUAUAUAUAUAUAUAUAUAUAUAUAUAUAUAUAUAUAUAUAUUCAAUAUUCUGCUAUAAAAUUGUGCAAAAUGGUUAAAUUUCAAUUUUGUUAUACAUAACUUUUUAUUUAUACAAUAAAAUUAUAAUUUAUCUAUGUAUAUCUUUUGGCUAUAGACUUGUUGAUUGUCAAUUUUGUUCUAUAUAUAUUUCGCUAUAUAACAUAAUUAGAAUUUUUUUGUAUAGUUUGUAACUAUAGAAUUGUUGUUUGAUAAUAAAUUUGUUCUCUAUAACUUCUAAUUAUUAUAAAAAAAAAUUAUAAAUUUUUUUAUAGCUUUUGGUUACAAUAUUUUAAAUUGAUAAUUUUGUUUUGUAUGACUUCUGAUUACACAAAAUAAUAAAAAAUUGUCUACAUAGUUUCUAACUAUAAGAUAAUUGGUAACAAAAAAUUGUGUUCAUAACUUCUAGUUAUGAGUAAAGUAAAUAAACAUUUUAGUAAUAAAAUAAGAAUACCAUAAGAUAUUGUUUUUCAUAUAUCUUUUUCAAAUUAAAUUGUUUGAAGAAAGAAAGAGUGCAUACUUUUCUAGAUAUGAAUGAGUGUUACAAGUAGGCAAAACCUUUUAUGGAUGAAAUCUUCUGUUUUUUUGAACUAGAGUGUCGUGCUAGUAAUGUAUUGUACAAGUAAAAAAGAAAAAGAAAAUUAGAGUGAAUUAUUUAGAGAAAAAAUUCAAAGAAAUUGAACCUUGAAAUUAUCUAACCUUAGCCUUAUUUCAAAGGUUAUAAUUAUAAUGACUAAAGAAAUGCUUUUCUAAUAACUGGGAACAUUAAUUACAGGCAUAUUUGAAAGGUUUAUUAUGCGAAAUUGUGACAUUGAUAAAUAUCUUCACCUAUUUAUAACAAAAAUAUACUUUUUCCAAACAAUUUCCAGAUAUUCAAACUGUGGAGAAUGUUUGAAAUUUCUGUGGGAAUUUGAACCAUGCCCUUUUGGACAUUUGAACCAUUCUUGACCAUUCAAAUGCUGAACCUGGGAGCAUUUGAAUUUACUUCCUACUUCCCUUUCCCGCUUCAACGUUUUUUUCCAUUUUUCCAAAUCUUUUCAAUUUUAAAAAUCAUAUUUAUGUUUACUAACAAUUGGCCUAAUACAAAAAUAAAACAGUGGCCUAAUACAUUAUCAAAAAACACUUCCAGAAAUAUCUAUCUUUUGGUACAUAUAAAUACGUACAAUUGAUUCUUCAUGAAAAUAUUUAUGAUGGAAGUGUUAUCAAUAAAAGGGUCAUAUGCUUCUUCACAAAGAUGUAGUGUAAAAAUAUUUACUAUAAAAUUGGCAUGGAUAAAAACAUUACAAAUUCGAAACAUUUUUACUGAAAUCAUUUCAAAAUGGGCAUAAACCUACUUAUGCUCCCCUAAAUAAUUAAAUCCAUGAAAAAAAUGAAACAUCUCUUGAGUUUGGUCCAUUUGCUUGUUGGGAUAUUCUCUCAGCAAACAACUUCGUCACAAAUUAAUUUUCAAUUCAUGAUAAGAAAGAAUUAAGUUAUUUUUUUCUGAAGAUUUUUAGAUGACAUGAUUUAAUGAAUAUACUUAUAUAAUUGAAUAAUAUUAUUAUUAUUAUUAUAAAAACUAUUUUUCAUAUUUUAAAAUAUACACCCUCUUCAUUUUCAUUUCCACCCCCGGGUGCCUGAUUUCCCAAACUCACAUGCUAGAAAGAAGAAAAUCAAGGUUUUUAGUCAGUGAUGCCCGCCCUCCCACCCUUGUCUCCUCUAAGCAAAGCCGUAAGUGAAGAAACUACCCCAUGAGUUUCGUCAAUUUGCACGUGGGCAUAUGAGGCAAGAAAACAUCCAAAGGCCACGAUUACCUGAUAUAUACCUUUUGAACGUCUUCCUUACCAUUAUAUUAAACUAUUUUCAUCUUCAAUAUCAAAUUGUACUAGUCUUUCUUUAUGCAUGUAUGGGGCUAGUAAAUGUGUCUCAGGUGGAUUUUAAAAAUGAAGGCAACCCAAGCCCAGCCAAUUGGGGUUGGGUUUCGAGUAAAACUCGUACACAUACGUCGUACGUGUCCUUUUCAGAUUUUCCUCGCUGGUCACCCACCCACCGAGGAGCACAAUACGUCUGCACAUACGUGUGCAAAAAAACUCAUCAUCUAACCGUGGAUUCCUGUCGCUGUUGACUCCACCACUAUCUCUAUGCCUAUAAAAUACUCACUUGGUUUGAACCGAUGUCCACAGAGCAGAUCGUCAUUUGGUGUGAGCUUGAGAAAAUUAACACAGAGGCAGCUUUUGAGUUAAUUUGCAGAUUACAUGGCCACUGGAAAGUUGAGGAACCUUUUGGAAGGGCUGAAGCCAGCCAUGACAAUGGUGAUAGUUCAGAUAAUAUUUGGAGGGCUAAAUAUUAUGUACAAACUGGCUAGAAAUGAUGGCAUGAGCAUGAAGAUUUUGGUCGCCUACCGAAAUAUCUUUGCAACAGCUAUUAUGGUUCCACUUGCUCUAAUCUUUGAAGGGUGAUUCUUAUUAAUCUUGUCUAUUUUUUUUUUCCGCAUCUUUAAUUUUGUUUUAUCUUUCAUUCACUCUUUUCAAAUUUAUGGUGAACAUGUAAUUAAAGUGUAUUAUAAUUUUAACAGGAAGAGUAGGCCAAAACUGACAUGGAUGAUCUUCCUCCAGGGCUCAUUAUGUGGAUUAUUUGGGUAAGUCUAAUGAUUAAUUAGAAAAUAUCUUUUUAUGUAUAUAUAUACACAUUAAGAAAUAUCUUUAAUUCCUUCAAUGCUCUAUCUUGUUUGUAAAUGACUUUGCAGGGGUGCGGUUCUUAUAGAGUAAUUUUACUCCAUGUCUUCAUAUUUAUGAUAUGAAAUGUUUUCAAUAAUAUUUUAUCCUACACUUCUUAUACAUAAAAAUUUAUUAAAUAUUCUUAUAUUUUCUGACAUAAACUUUGAUUGCAGAGGGUCAUUAGGUCAAAAUUUAUAUGCCGAGAGCCUAAGCUUAACGUCAGCAACAUUUGUAGCGGCAAUGACAAACCUGGUUCCAGCUAUGACAUUUGUCAUGGCAGUUUUCUUAAGGUAUUUUUUAUUUAUUUAUUUCCUAACGAUAUUUUAGUACUAAAAUUUAUAGUAUUACACAUUUAAGUUUCUUAAGGAACAAAUGCUAAACCCUAGUCCUAUUUUCUUCUAGGAUGGAGAGAUUAGCAAUUGGAACAAUUGCGGGAAAAGCUAAGUUAAUGGGGACUAUAAUGAGCCUAGGUGGUGCAAUGAUUCUAACAUUUUACAAAGGAGUAGAGAUCAAGUUAUGGUCAACCAACAUCAACCUACUACAUCAUGGUGCUGCAGCAUUACAAGAGUCGUCUCCUAAUCAAGUGUUGGGCUCACUAUUGGCUGUGGCUAGUUGUGUCUGUAUUGCAGUUUGGUUGAUAGUCCAGGUGAUCAAGGUUCAGGUUUUCUUUUUUCUUCAAAUGAUAAAUCAAAUACCUUUACUGAAUGGGAAAUUGCUCUCGUAUUUUGGUUUUUCUUCUUUUAUUUGGACAGACUAAGAUGAGCAUGGUGUAUCCAAGCUACUCCGGAACUGCUCUAAUGUGUGUUUGUGCAUCAAUUCAAUCGGUUGUAUAUGCCAUGUGCACUGAGAGGGACUGGUCCGCAUGGAAACUUGGUUGGGACAUUAGGCUUCUCACUGUUGUUUACUCAGUAAGAUAUUUCUUGAAAAUUUUAUAUAAUUCAAUGAAAUAUGAGAAGAAUAAAGAUUUUCUAACAAAGUAUUGAUUGACAUUCAAUUUCUCUUCCAUUCAAACGAUAUUGAGAAAUCGUUUAUGAAUAUGUUAACUUAGUGGAUGAUUUUGAGUUAUAACAAGUAGAAUUUGUUGUAUUGCAGGGAGUGUUGGCCUCUGGAUUAAUGGUUACACUAAUGACCUGGGUUUCAAGGAUGAGAGGCCCAUUGUUUGUAUCUUCUUUCUUUCCCUUAAUGCUUGUAACCGUUGCAAUACUUGGGUCACUGUUACUCCACGAACAGCUACAUAUAGGAAGGUUUGAAUAUUCAAAUUAAAACCACCUCACCUUCAAAGAUUUCAUUUGUGCUCUGACAUUAAUUCUUGGUACCUAUUUUUAUAACAGCAUAAUUGCAGCAGUGUUGAUCAUAGUGGGCUUGUAUAUUGUUUUAUGGGGAAAAGGCAAGGAAAUGAAGCAGACCGCCCAAAUCCAUGCAGCACAAAGCUUUAGCGAACAAGAUCUGAGACAUAUUGUCAUAGAAAAUUCAAGUAACAGUGAGUGUAAACCAGAAGCAAGUGGUAUUAUUGGUCCCAUUGAACCUGCUGACCUAGGAUCUGGAGUGCCAUCUGCAGCUGCAGUGGUGAACAAAUAAUGUCAUAGUGAUAUCUUCCAUAUAAAAUUGGAAGAGAUAGCAGUAAACUAGAAAAGGAAAUUGAUUUGUGUUAUUAAUGUUGUUCAAUGUAUAUUAGAAAUUCAUUUCAGUUAACUAAAAUCUUUUACAAACAAUGUUCCUCUAUUUUUUUUCUCUAAAUUCUGACAAUUGCUGGCAGCAAAUGAGUACUAUUACUGCAAUGUUCUUCACCUACUUUGCUAAUUCACUCUAGUUGGUGAAUGAAUUUUGCUGAUGGAAGGACAACUUCUCCAUCUGCAAAUAUUGAAAUCCAUUUACAGUGUCCUCAAUGAAUAAAACGUAAAAAAGAUGUGUGAAAAUAAAGCUAAGAAUAGUGGGAUCAUGAAACAACUCUAAUAGACCUUACAUGCAUGUAGUCUGGAUGGUGAGAAUGACGAAGGAACCUUGUAAGACUUAGGUGAUACUAAGAGUUCAUUUGGCACUAAUUUUAGAAAACAUUUUUAACUUUUUGAACACAAUGAUAAAAAUUUAUGAAUGUUGGAAAGAUUUCCUAAAAUCACCGGCUCUAAACCAUUCACAUUUGGUAUCUCUGUUUCUGACAAGGGAAGCGCAUAUAAUGCGGCAGAUCUUCGGGAUCACAGUAUGCGGAAAAUAUCUAAAGGUUUUGAUGUGGCAACCUUUGACGUUGAUUUUGGGCAAUAUCACAAGGUCUCUCUACCACCAGAUUCAUCCCGUAUAGAGGGUGUGAUCAAAUAUAGGAAAGGAAGAAGCACAGAAUUAACACCUACCAUCCACUAAGCCAAGCCAUGACUAAUGAAACUCCCCAAUCAUUAAUCUAGUUCCUCCAUGAGGCCAACCACUGUGUGACAAUUGUAUGUGAGAUCUUAAGGCCAAUUUUGACCUAAUGGACUAGGUUGCCGUAGUGGGAUUGACAACUACUCAAGCGCAUCGAAACUAAGGUUGCCCUUGGGGGGAAACUUUCCUUUUCAGACCUCAACACGUCUGAAUUAAUGUUUGUAAGCAUUCGCAACUUCAAUGGAUGCCUCUUUCGUACUGUACUCAACAUCUGCUUGGGCUACUCUUAGGAAUCUUUGAGUUGCACCGGAAGUUUUAAUACUAUACAUUAAUACAAUAAUCCAAAGAUGAAAUCAUUUACUCAUAACCAUAUGUUUGUACCAACGGAUGAAGCCUUGAUCACUUAUUGUGUAAGUAAAAGUUUUAAUCCUAACAUACUCGAAAAAGAAAACAAAGAUAAAAUAAUCCUCGUACAUAGAUAUACAAGGUUUUAAUGUGAUUCAAUAUCAUGCCCAAAUUUGUUGAUAAGAGAAAAUCAUUCCAAUAUUCCAUAAAGAAUAUUACAUAGAUGGAAGAACACAUACAAUUAAGUCUGAAAUAUCCUAAUGUUUCNNNNNNNNNNNNNNNNNNNNNNNNNNNNNNNNNNNNNNNNNNNNNNNNNNNNNNNNNNNNNNNNNNNNNNNNNNNNNNNNNNNNNNNNNNNNNNNNNNNNAAGUGAUCUAUCAUUAGUGUUCUUUCCUUUAGCUUCAUAUUCGUCAACUUCUUUAAUAAGAAAAUUUUAUUCCCAACGGUUUUUUGUUCAAACACUAAUUCCAAUUUCUUCCAGAGAUUAUAGGCAUUUGUUUCAUUUGCCACAUGAUGAUGUGAGGAUGUGUCAAUCCAUUGCCUAAUAUAGGCAAUUGCCUUUUUGUUCAUCUUAUUCCAUUCCAAAUCACAAAUAUCUUUAGGUCUGGCUUCUUCACCCUUAAGAUUAUUUGAAAAAUCUUUAAUGGUGAAAAAAUCUUCCUUCAUGGACUUCCAUAUAGCCCAAUUUGAAUUAUUAAGUUUUAUCAUGGAGGUUGAGUUCCCUUCUAUCUCCAUUCCUUUCGCAACUAGACUUUGAUACCACUUGUUGGGAAGAUAAAGGGAGAGAUUUAGAGUAUUAACCUGCCAAGGUUAAAAGAUUCCUCCACAAUAAUAACCACCUCUCAAGAAUAAUAACCCAACAAAAAUCAAGAAUGACAAUCAAGAACAUUCAACCACAAAAGAGGACAUCAAAUAUAACGUGGAAAACCCCUUUGGAUAGAGGUAAAAAAACCAUAGAGAAAAUUUCUCCCACUUCAAUAAAUGGGGAUACAAUAAUUAAGUUCUGACUUGAGGCGGGAAUCCAUCACCCUAGGAAACAUGAACAGAAAAAAAAUCAGGGAGAAAAUAUACCACAAGAAUUCCCCAAAAGUUUGAUGAAAGGAACCUGUAACUUCACCCUUGAGCCCUAGAACAAUGACUAGAAAAACAACCUUGAUCUUCUUUCAUUUUCUCAAUCAAAUGCCCUUCUCUCUCAUAAUACCAAAACCCUAAUGCUAUUUAUAUAUCCAUAUUUGGGCUUAGGGAAUACCCAAAUAUAAAAUAGCCUAAUAUAUGGGCUCAUGGCUGGACAAACAUAAUCCAACAGAUUAUAGUGGGCUUGUAUAUCGUUUCAUGGGGAAAAGGCAAGGAGAUGAAAAACACCGCCCAAGUCCAUGGAGCAAAAAGCUUUAGCGAACAAGAAUUGAGACAUAUUGUCAUAGAAAAUUCAUUUAACAGUGAGUGUAAACCAGCAGCAAGUGGUAUUAUUGUUCCCAUUGAAUCUGCUGACCUAGGAUCUGGUGUGGCAUCUGCAGCUGCAGUGGUGCCUGAAUAAUGUCGCAGUCGUAGCUUCUAUACAAAAUUGGCAGAGAAAAGGAAAUUGAUUGUGUUGUUGAUGUUGUUCAAUGUAUACUAGAAAUUCAUUUCUGUUCAUUAAAAUCUUUUACAAACAACGUUCCUCUAUUUUUUUCUCUAAAUUCUGACAUUUACUGGUAGCAAAUGAGUAAUAUUAAUGCAACUAUCGCUAUUCAUUAACAGUGUCUUCAAUGAAUAAAACGUAAAAAGAUGUGUGAAAAUAAAUUAAGCUAAGAAUAGCGGGAUCAUCAAACAAUUCUAAUAGACAACAUGGUCGAGUCAACAAUAAUGAUGGGUACACACCUAACAGUUCCUUGGUAUAAUGGCGGAGAGUGUGUUUAAAGGGUGGAAUAUGCUUAUCUUCAAAAGCUAGUUGGUUAUUUUCGGCCACCGAUUUUCUUAAAAGCUUAAACUUUUCGGAUUUUGGCGUACAAUGUAUUUAUAUUAUGCUUCUCCACCAUUCCCCUCUUUCUAUGAUUUUAAGUUUUUAAGAAAAUUGAAACUCAACAUGGUAUCGGUGCUCUAAUUAAUUAGAUAUAUCAUAUUGAAGUUAUUAUCUCAAUCUAUUUAUUUGUCCAAUUAUUUGUGAUUAUAAAUGUACAAUUUUUAUGUAGCUUUUUUAAUGCUCAUAUCUAAUUAUCUAUAAUUAAACAUGUGAUUUGUAUAGUGAGUAAUUAUCUUUAAUCACAUCUGUACAAUGGAUAUAGAGUCGCACAUGAAAGAAGGUGAAUAUGCCUAAUUAUUUGUGAUCACAAAUGUGUGAUUUAGGUGGUGUUUAUUUUUUAAAACUUUUUUUUUAAAAGCAAUUUACUUUUAGAUUUUAUAUUGUUUAUUCUCUUACUUUUUGUUGACUUAAUACUUAUUUCAGAUUUUUUUUAUUGAAUAGAAAAAGAUAAAAUAUUUAACUUUUUCUAAAUAUUAAGAAAAAUAUGUUGAUUUUUUUCACCGUUUCAUAUUUAAUAGAAAUAAAAUAUUAAAAAAAAUAAAUAACUUAAUUAUUAACAUUAUUAAAUAUUAUUUAGUUUUAAAUUCUAUUUAAGAAUUGAGUGAAAAAAAGCAAAGCAACACCUUACUACUGUUAGCCGCCAGUGCACAGCUAUUACUAUCUAGGCCACAUGUAAUAGUUGUUGAGAGUUCCAACAAGAAGAAUAUCUUGUAGUGAUUUACCUCUCUUAAAAGGGAAUAUCUUUGUAGUAGAGAAAAGUACUCAAGAAAAUUCAAACAGAUUUAUGACAACCUUGUAGCCAUCGACAAGCCAACAUUCGAGCUUGAUAAAGUAAGUCAAUUUGCUAGAGCACUGGAGGCAAAGUAUCAAGAAUUCCAAUGGACGUUUCAACCCGAUGGACAGUCUUAAUAUUGCAAGCAAGUUCAACAUGCUUGAUACUCCUAAAAAUUCAAUUCGAAUGACCUGUAGUAAUGGUCUGAAACCCAUCUAGAAAACAAUCUUCAUCCACAUUCUCAAUGACACUUUUCUGACUGAGCAAAGCAAUAAGUGAUGGAACUUCCUCGUGUGUUCUGUCCAUUAGCAUAUGGGUAUAUUAUGCCAGUAAAUUUCGAAAGGGAACUAGAAAAAUUAAGACCACAUUCACACUGCCGACUUUUUUAAAGUGUUCCUUAGUUUUUUAUUCUUCAAAUAAUUGAUGUUUUAAAAAAUUAUAUUCAUGCUCAAUAUCAAAUUGGCCUGCUCUUUCUUUGCGCAUGUUAGAAAGCACAAAACUAACACCUACCAUCCACUAAGCCAAGCCAUGGCCAAUGAAACUCCCCAGUCAUUAAUCCAGUUCCUCCACUAGUAUGCAUGAGGCCAACCAACCUGUAACAAAUGUGUUUGACAAAUUAAUGCCAAUUUUGACCUAAUGGACUAAGUUCCCGUAAUGGGAUUGACAACUACUCCAGACCAUCGAAACUAAGGUGGCCCUUGGGAGGAAACUUUCCUUUUCAGACCUCAUGCAAGAACGUUUGUAGGCAUGCUCAACUUCAAUGGAUUCCUCUUUCGUACUAUACUCAACGUCUGCUUAGGCUACUCUUAGAAAUCUUUGAGUUGCACCGAAGUUUUUAUACCAUAUAUUAAUACAAUAAUUUAAAGAUGAAAUCAUUUACUCAUAACGGAUGAAGCCUUGAUAACUUAUUGUGUAGGCAAAAGUUUUAAUACUAACACAUUAGAAAAGGAAAACGCAAAUAAAAUAAUCUAUAUACAAAGAUAUAUGAGGUUUUAGCAUGAUUCAAUAUCAUACCUAAAUUUGUUAGAGAAUAUUUUAUAAGACAAAAAAACACAUAAUUAUUAAGCCUUCAAACAUCCAAUGUUUUUACACUAUUGUGUCUAUAUCAUGAAUCACGAGCUAUAAUAGAAUUUGUUGUGUAGGCAAAAUCUUUUAAUACUAACAUUGUAUAAAAAGAACACAAAGAUAAAACAAUCUACACAAAGAUAAUUGAGAUUUUAAUGUGAUUUAAGCAACCAUGCUUACACCCAUAAGUGAUAGAAAAUCAUUCUAUUAUAUCAUAGAAAAUAUUAUAGAAGACAAAAGAAUAAAACCUUGAAACAUACCAUGUCUCCCAUUCAUCUUUACCUCAUUACUGUUUUCUCAUCAUGAAUUAUAAUAUUUAUAGAGAUAUUUCUAAUGUACUAAUUCUACAUAAAAAAAAAUCAAAUAAUACAAUGAUAUAUCAAUAUAGGAAAUAUUCUAUAUAAUAUUUGCAACAAAAAGGGAUAUAUACCAUAUAGAACCACAAAUGAAAGAACAUCAAUUCUCUACAUUAUAAAGAAAUUAUAGAGAAAUGAUAAAAUAGACACAAGUUAUAGAUCUUGAAACAAUUUCAUGUUUUCUUACCCCCAAUAUCUACACCUUGAAUGACAAGCCCUCACUCUAUUAGGUGUUUUCACUCUUCUUUACAUCUUGACCCACUCGGUAUAUGCUUUAUAGGUCUUAUCCUGAUCUUGUAAUUAACUUUUUGUCUCCAUGACUUAAAGUACUUAUAGAUAUAUUCCUAAUCUCUUUCUUAUUAUACAAAGAUAUCUAGUAUAACAAAGAAAUAUUAAGUCAAUCUUCUAUCUCUUCAUGACAAACACCUCAAUUGUACACAAGUUAGAAUUUUAAAGCAACUAGACUAAGAUUUAUAUGGUGUUGGAAAUAGAGAUAAGCUUAAAACAUAAAAGUAUAGCACAACAUAUAUUUCAUACUUCAAGUGCUUAACAACCAAGUAAGAAGGUAAAUGGAUAAUCCUUACUUCCUCAAUCUGUGAAUUCUUUUAUAUCAUUGCAUUUAAUCCUAUAAUAUACCUUUGUGAUAUUCGCCACAUCAUGAAAGACAAGUUUUAUGUAUUGAUGAUUGUCCAUAAUUGUUUGUUGUUCAAAAUAAUAAGUUUAAAUUCAAAGCAACUCUAGCCGACAAAAACUAAAAAAAGUAUCACUACCACUUGUAUGGUACUCUAGGUAUUAUCCUUAAGGACUAAAUUAUGGAUGAUAAUGAUGUUAGGUCAAGGAGAUUUACUAUUACCUAAAUUGUAAAGUAAAAAAAUUGAGAAUUGAUUUACUUAAAUUAAGGGCAGUUGGAAUAAUCCUAAUUACUAAUAAAAUUGAAUGUUAAUUUCUAACUCAAUUGAUCAAAUUUGGAGGCUCCGUAAUCCAAUUUUAGGAGUAGAGCUUUGAAGAGAACAAAAGUUUGUUAUCUUCAAUGAUCUUAAGGUUAUUAGGAUACUUGGUCACUCAAGAUCAACUUAACUUCUAUAACUUAUAGUUAUAACUUAAACCUAAUUCUUUGGCUUAGGAUGAAUACAUGUCCCAUGUCUCACAUUAGUUUAUUACCAACAUUGGUUGGGCCUUAUAUGUAGCCUCUACUCCCCACAAGCUUAAGCUUUUAAGAGCGUAUGUUGUAUCGCAUCAUUUUGUAUCAUGGUGAGGUUUGGCCUGGCUCACCUUGUGCUCGUUAACAUGGGCGUUAACAUUGAGUAGGGGGGUGUUUGAAGUACAUAGGAGGGACAAACAAUGACCCAAAUCAGCUGAUUACCAACAUUGGUUGGGCUUUAUACAUGGGGUUACCUUUUCUUUCCAUUAUCUUAGGUUUUUGGGAGUGUAAAUGUCUUGCAUCAUUUUCCUUUUCAAUUCAUAUUUCUAAUUCCCAUAUGAUGAAUGAUAUCUACUUCAGGUUCAAGUCACAACUUUUUAUCACUUACUACUUAUAGAUUUGUAUUAAGGUGGAUAGCUAUAAAGAUAAUCAUGAUAACAAAGGAUCAAGGGUAGCUAAGAGUCUCUAGUAUCUUGUAGUACUUUAGGCAUCAUCUUUAAAAACUAAAAUAUGGAUAACAAUGAUGUUAGGUCAAGGAGAUUUACUAUUACCUAAAUUGUAAAGUAAAAAUGUUGAGAAUUAAUUUAAGUAAAUUAAAAGUAGUUAGAAUAAACCUAAUUACUAAUAAAAUUAAAUAUUGAUUUCUAACUCAGUUGAUUCAAAGUUGGGGGCUCCAUAAUCCAAUUUUACAAGUAGAUAUUUACAGUGAACAAAAGUUUCUUAUUUUCAAUGAUCUUAAGGUUAUUAAAAUACUUGGUGGCUAGAGAUGAAAUUGAGUUCUAUAACUCAUAAUUACAUCUUUUUCUUUCUUUUUCUAACAAGAUUAGUUGUAUUAAGAAUUAUUCUCCUGUUUUAUGCAUGUUUCCAAAAGCAACUUAGGGCUUAGACUGCAUGCAGAUGGCCCUCCAAGUAGCCUAGCUGUUCAUCCUGAUCAUUAAGAUGUCUUGAGGACAUUUUCGAAAAUGAGGCAAGCUUGAAAUUAGAAAAGGGCAGUUCAAGCUCCAUAUGACAAUAUAAAUUACUACUCUAGCAACAUUUUGGAACAAUUCCUUUCUCUGUUCUCUCUUAAGACUUUAUUGCAUGUGUGAUCAUCUUAAUUAGGAAAAUCCAGUUCUCAUUUCAUUGCAUUAAAUGUUCCGAUGCAAUUGAUAAUGUUGAGUCUUAUAUAAUUAAAAUAAAAUUGUUUUAAAUGGAAUCAUGGGCUGUAGCGUGAGUCGUAAUUAUGAAAAUACCAUCUCUGUCUGAUGGCAUUGGGACAAGGUCUCAUGCAUCAAGCUUUAAAAUUUGAAAAUAAACAAGGUAACAUUUUGUAUAUAUAGAAAAUGAUACUCUCCUCAAAUAAGGUAACAUUUGAUUAAUCAAACAAGAAAAUGGUAUAGGAUAUCAAUAAUAUUUGUUUCACUCGAAAAGGACAACCAGAUAUCGUUCACUCUUUUAUUUUAUAUCCAUUAUUCCCCAAAUCUGAAAAUCUUUGCAGAAUCUCAAAGUCAAAUGUUUGACCACUCAAAUAAGUUAUAUAUAUAUAUCUUUGAUCAAAUUUUUUCCUAAAUUCUACUUUAUUUUAGCACUCCCAAGAUUUCAUGCAAUUCAUUCUAGUCUUCAAUGGUAGCUCAGUUUAUAAGUCAUUAGCUUUCAAGGGACUUCCAAGCUAAAAGUAGUGUUUUUCCUUGGUUUAUAAACCUGUACAACUGGGGUAUUAUGAAAACAAUAAUAUUUUAAAUAUCACUGUUACGAUAUCAAAUGUAUAUAUAUAAAUUAUUUUUAAAUUUUUUGAAAAAACAACAAAAGUCAUGGUUCAAAAUCAUGUUCAUUUACAUUAGAGGAAAAUGCGAAGAUAUUGAAGUGAUAUCGAAAUCUAAAUCGGGAACUUUGAAUAUAAAUGAGCACAUAAAUAAAUAAGAUUAAGUUAUACAGGCGUAAAUAGAUUUGAUGUAUAAAUAAUAAGUAUACUUGGUUGUCCUAAAGCACAGAGAUAAAAUUGUAUGCCAUAUUAGACAUGGCCUCCUCCCACCAUCGUUGAAAUUAGUGAAUUCACCAUGACCAAAGCAACAUGCCCAUGACUUUUCUGCACUUGCGUGUAUGAGGUUCCCGUAAUCGAAUUGGCAAUCCAAGACCAUACAUGGUGGUUGCAGACAUGAUUUGGGCUUGGACUUAGUGGAAACUUUUCGCCAGCCAAGCUGCCUUUUUAAGAGUUUGUCCUUUUAAGAGUUUUGCCUACGAUAGACCGCAAUACGCCUGCAAGGAAGUCAGCAAAAGGACCCCCACACAUCACUUUGGAAAGCAUGAUCUAAGUGUGGAUUCUGGAUUGCUCUAUCUGACAUGAUUCCAACAGCCGGCAGCUCCACUAUUAUGAGGGCGCCUCUCUCAGAAAUCCCUUUUUGUCUAUAAAUACUCAUAUGGUUUGAACCAGAGAGUAUCCAAACAGCCUCCCCAACAGCUUCAUUUGCUUCAUAUAUAGUCAUUGGCUUGAGCAAUAAACAGCUUUUCAGUUGGUAUAUUACAUGGCUAGUGGGAAGUUUUGGAAUGUCAUGACAGGGCUGAAGCCAGUCCUGGCAAUGGUGGUGGUUCAAGUGUCACUGGGAGGAAUUAAUAUUAUGUACAAGUUGGCUAAGAGUGACGGCAUGAGCAUGAAGGUUUUAAUCGCCUGCAGAUAUAUAUUCGCUGCAGCUUUUACGGUUCCACUUGCUUUGAUAUUUGAUCGGUAACUUUCAUUAUUUCUUAGUUUUGUUUUGUAGCUUGUGUUUAUUUAAUUUCAGUGUUUCUUCUCUCUCCCUUCUCUUUCUUGCUUUCUCUCUUUCCUUUUUGUAUGGGUGAGCUUGUCCCUUGUGUGGCCUGUAUCACAACUGGGCUAAAGAAAAAUUAUUAUAUCUGUUAUCCUAAAUUUCAUUUUUAAAAAUGGGAGUAUAUGGUGAUGCUUUCUUUACUGACAUUUCUUACAAAUAAGAAAUAAAUUAUCAUGGUUUUAUCUCCGUUUCUCUUUCUCAAUUGCACAGAGAGCAUUUACUAAUAUUUGCCUCAUGUAUGGUAAACAGGAAGAGUAGGCAAAAAAUGACAUGGAUGAUCUUCUUGCAAGGUUCCUUAUGUGGUUUAUUUGGGUAAGUUUCAAAAAAUAUUUUAUUCUUGUAUUUUAUAUCAAAGGUGUUCAAUUUUGGCCAAAAAUGGUUUAGAUAGGUGAGUUUUCCUGUAAUGAAUCUAUACUUUCUCAAUGAACUCUUUCGUACACAUGAUGAAUAGUAUUCUCAAUUUUGCCAAAGCUUAGAUAGGCCGGGUGAUGCCAUGGUAGUUGUCAUAUAAACAGUUGAAAGGAUCUAUGACUAAAAGAUGUCAUUUUCUGCAAGACAUACACUGUUGAGAAUCUAGCUUAGUUACUACAAAUUUUAUUUUCUUCCAUUCAGUAUUUUGUUUGCCCUUCAUCUAGUUACAAUAACAGUAUUUGUAACACAUAAGAACAACUUCUAACCUAAAGUUUGAUUUCAGGGGGUCAUUAGGUCAAAACUUAUAUGCUCAGAGCUUGACUCUAACGUCCGCAACUUUUGCAGCAGCAAUGACUAACAUUAUUCCAGCCAUGGCAUUUGUCCUGGCAAUUGUCUUGAGGUAAUCCUCCUUUUCUUACCAAAAUUUUAAUCCUAUCAAAUUAACAUGGUUUCAAUGUAUGUUAAAGUUCCAGUUUAAUGAAAAAUAAAUCCUAAAUCCUAGCCAUCUUAUCUCAUAGGAUGGAAAGAUUAGCAAUUGGCACGGUUGCUGGAAAGGCUAAGGUGUUGGGCACUCUAUUAAGCAUAAGUGGUGCAUUGGUUCUCACAUUUUACAAAGGAGUAGAGCUCAAUUUGUGGUCAACUAACAUCAACUUGCUGCAUCAUGGUGCAGCAACCUCACAGCAAUCAUCUAAUGAUCAAGUCUUGGGCUCAAUCUUAGCUGUUGUUGCUUGUAUGUGCUUUGCAGUUUGGUUGAUAAUCCAGGUGAUUUUGCUUAUUUAUUUAUUUAUUUUCUCUUCAGAUACAGAAAUUAAUUAAGUAUACACCUUUCACUAAUCUCAUAAUUGCUUUUGUGUUUUCCUAUUUCCUCUUUUAUAUGGACAGGCCAAGAUUAGUAUGGUGUAUCCAAGCUACUCUGGAACUGCUCUUACUUGUGUCUCUGCAGCGAUUCAGUCAGUUGUAUAUGCCAUGUGUGCUGAGAAGAAAUGGUCAGCAUGGAAACUUGGUUGGGACAUAAGACUUCUCACUGUUGUUUACACGGUAAGAUAUUUCUUGAAAUUUGUGUAUAAUUCAUUGAAUUUGGGGAAUAUUUAAGAUUUGUUUGGAAUGGUUUUAUUAAUAAAAUGUCAUAAAUAUUAUUUUAACCAUAUUCUUAUUUUUUAUAAAGUAUAUAUUGCAUUAUUUCAAAAUUGUGCACAAAUUGAACAACACACAUCUUGAUUUUAUAAAUUAGGUUGACUUUUUCAAAAUUUUCUCCAAAAAGGAUGCUACCAUAUGAAGUUCGACAUCCAAUCAAACAAGUCUUAGUUGGAAAGCAUAACUGCUAAUUAACAUAUGAAAGACAUUCAAUAUUAAAAAUCGUAUUCAGUUUCAAUCAAUAAAUGGUGUUGAGUUAUAACAAAGUUUUGCUGUGUUGCAGGGAGUGUGGGCCACUGGAUUGAUGGUUGCAAUAAUGAGCUGGGCUGCAAGGCUGAGGGGGCCAUUGUUUGUAUCUUCUUUCUAUCCCUUAAUACUUGUAACUGUUGCAAUACUGGGGUCUCUCUUACUCGACGAGCAGCUAUACUUGGGAAGGUUUGAACUACUCUUCUACUUCAACUUAAAAAGUUUCAUUUAUUCUCAUAUUAAUUCAUUAUUCAUUUAUGGAACAGCAUAAUAGCAGUAGUGUUGAUCCUAGUGGGCUUGUAUGGUGUUUUGUGGGGAAAAGGCAAGGAGAUGAAGCAGAGCGCCCAAGUAGAUGGAGCAAAAAGCUCUACGGAGCCAGAAUUGAGAGGCAUUGUCAUAGAAACCUCGUCUAGUACUGAGGGUAAACCGACCGCAACUAGUACUAUUUGUCCCAUCCAAGCUGCUGACCGAGGAUCUGGAGCGGUUUCUCCUGCUGCAGUGGUGCAUGAAUAGCAACAAUAUAUCAUACUGAUAUCUUUUAUUUGGAAGAA